UUUCCGGUUGAUCCUGCCGGAGGCCACUGCUAUCGGAGUUCGAUUAAGCCAUGCGAGUCGAGAGGGUUUAGACCCUCGGCGGACUGCUCAGUAACACGUGGAUAACCUGCCCUAAGGUGGAGAAUAACCCCGGGAAACUGGGGAUAAUACUCCAUAGAUUAGAGAUACUGGAAUGUUCUUUAGUCAAAAGUUCCGGCGCCUUAGGAUGGAUCUGCGGUCGAUUAGGUUGUUGUUGGGGUAACGGCCCAACAAGCCUGUAAUCGAUACGGGUUGUGGGAGCAAUAGCCCGGAGAUGGAAUCUGAGACAAGAUUCCAGGCCCUACGGGGCGCAGCAGGCGCGAAAACUUUACAAUGCAGGAAACUGUGAUAAGGGAACCCCGAGUGCCCGUAUACGCGGGCUGUCCAGGUGUUUAAAAGUCAUCUGAAGAAAGGGCCGGGCAAGACCGGUGCCAGCCGCCGCGGUAAUACCGGCGGCUCGAGUGGUGGCCACUAUUAUUGGGCUUAAAGCGUCCGUAGCUGGACUGAUAAGUCUCUUGGGAAAUCCGCCGGCUCAACCGGCGGGCGUCUAAGGGAUACUGCUGGUCUAGGGACCGGGAGAGGUGAGAGGUACUCCGGGGGUAGGAGUGAAAUCCUGUAAUCCCCGGGGGACCACCGAUGGCGAAGGCAUCUCACCAGAACGGCUCCGACAGUGAGGGACGAAAGCUGGGGGAGCAAACCGGAUUAGAUACCCGGGUAGUCCCAGCCGUAAACUAUGCGCGUCAAG
RNAcentral lists this ribosomal RNA (763 nucleotides) under uncultured Methanogenium sp. RNAcentral describes it as "bacterial SSU rRNA". It matches the Rfam family "Archaeal small subunit ribosomal RNA", at positions 1 to 771 of the family's 1478-position model. The record is from RNAcentral. Lineage: Archaea; Methanobacteriati; Methanobacteriota; Methanomicrobia; Methanomicrobiales; Methanomicrobiaceae.